AUUAGUAUUAGUUAUGUUCUUUAAAAUUAAAAAAUUUGGCGGUAUUUUAAUCUUUUCAGAGGAACUUGUUUUAUAAUUGAUAAUCCACGAUUUAAUUUACUUAUUUUUUUAAUUUAUAUAUCGUCGUUAUAAAAAAUUUUUUAAAAAUAUAAAUUUUUUUAAAUUUUAAUUAAAAAAUAAAUCAGAUCAAGAUGUAGUUAAUAUAUAAGAAAAAAUGAGUUACUUUAAUUUUAUUAUUAAGAAUUUUUAUUAGGAUAGUAAAUUGAAUUUGGAUUUGAAAGUAAAAUAAUUUAAUUAAAUUAUUUGAUUUUAGCUCUAAAAUAUGUACACAUCGCCCG
Molecule: ribosomal RNA, 338 nt
Filed under: Lema honorata
Lineage: Eukaryota; Metazoa; Arthropoda; Insecta; Coleoptera; Chrysomelidae
Description: partial 12S rRNA
Source: RNAcentral